Molecule: long non-coding RNA, 738 nt
Filed under: Equus caballus (horse)
Lineage: Eukaryota; Metazoa; Chordata; Mammalia; Perissodactyla; Equidae
Description: lncRNA (ENSECAG00000056032.1)
Source: RNAcentral
AGUACUAGAAAUGGUAAGAGUGAGCACCUUGUCUUAUUCCUGAUCACAGAGGAAAAGCUUUCAACUUUUCAUCAUUGAGUGUGAUGCUAGCUGUGGACUUAUCAUGUAUGGCUUUUAUUAUGUUGAGGAAUCCACAUGGUGCAGAAAGGCCGUGGACUUUAGAGACCAUUCAGCUGGAGUGUGUAAUGCCAGCUCUUCCUUUCUGAACGACCCAAACCCUUCUUUUCCUAAGGAAACCAGAAAAAGAGAUUGAGAUAGUAAUUCUGAGAUGCCUGAUCAUCUACCACGUACCUGCAAUCACUAAUGUGUUUGGCCCAUGUCUUGCCCCUUGGUCUGUGCCUCAACAUAGGGAGGAGGGUCCCCUGCCUACUGGAAGCUUGGAAUACUUUGGAAAGCCAAAGUCUCAAGAAUAUCAAGGAGCAGAGGCUUCCCAGACCUCAACUUCUGACUCCUGGCGCUCGAACACCGCUCAAACAGGAAGACAAGACAAGAGACAAUGGCGAAGGAUGCCCACCUGCCAUCCUCCUAUCUCACCCUCCCCGCCCCCCCACCAGCCUUGCUGCAAGCAGCCUCUCAAGGCCAAAUGCAGGCUGGUGGGAAAACGCCAGCCUGCACAGCUACACGCGCCCCCUCCUCUACCCAAAACCCCAAAUAAAAAUCCCUACCCAUUCCUCAUCGGGGAGCUAGCAAUUUUUGAGGCAUGAGCCCUUGCUUUGCUCCCCAUGCCUGGCAUAAUAA